CUACUAACGUGUUCGGAACAUAUUCUUUAUCGGUGUUAAGUAGAGCGUAAAAUCAAAGACUAUCGAAUGAAAUAUAAUCUCGCUGCUCCGAGACUCCAACGCGAGCUACCUGAGACCCGGUGAAUUUUCUACCGGAUAUGGAUGUGCUUUAAGGAAUUCCAGUGUUAAUUGUACUUUUUGGGGACUUUGAGUGAUUCACCACCCUCUGAACAAAUGUAUUUUGAGAUCCUCAAAGAAGUCAUAUGUUUUAAUUGCUGCCCAUCAAAUAGUACAGUGUCUUUGUGUAAAUUAGAUUCAUUUUGAGGAAAUAGCUGGUGUGCAGUGCACAUUCCUAAAUUAAUUCAUCAGUUUACAUUAAGGAUCUACCUUCAAAUCCUGUAAUCUGGGAUGCUCUAAAGUGCAUGUCACAGACUAAAGUUAUAAAAAUAACUUCCAAGAAUUUUUAAGAAAUUGUUAUAACUUUAAAAUGUAUGUAUAUAUACUGAUAUUGAAUUAAAUUUUGUAAACUUUCA
Ostrea edulis (European flat oyster) is the source of this 512-nucleotide long non-coding RNA. RefSeq lists it as uncharacterized. Lineage: Eukaryota; Metazoa; Mollusca; Bivalvia; Ostreida; Ostreidae. The transcript is spliced from 4 exons. The record is from RefSeq and is a predicted model, not a curated record.